This 301-nucleotide ribosomal RNA is filed under the name uncultured bacterium. Its description in RNAcentral is "partial 16S ribosomal RNA". It matches the Rfam family "Bacterial small subunit ribosomal RNA", at positions 509 to 809 of the family's 1533-position model. The record is from RNAcentral.
CAGCAGCCACGGUAAUACGGAGGGUGCAAGCGUUAAUCGGAAUUACUGGGCGUAAAGCGCGCGUAGGUGGUUCGCCAAGUUGGAUGUGAAAUCCCCGGGCUCAACCUGGGAACUGCAUCCAAAACUGGCGAGCUAGAGUAUGGUAGAGGGUGGUGGAAUUUCCUGUGUAGCGGUGAAAUGCGUAGAUAUAGGAAGGAACAUCAGUGGCGAAGGCGACCACCUGGACUGAUACUGACACUGAGGUGCGAAAGCGUGGGGAGCAAACAGGAUUAGAUACCCCGGUAGUCCCUGUCUCUUAUAA